This 212-nucleotide ribosomal RNA is filed under the name Acinetobacter baumannii OIFC109. RNAcentral's name for it is "partial 16S ribosomal RNA". It matches the Rfam family "Bacterial small subunit ribosomal RNA", at positions 81 to 296 of the family's 1533-position model. The record is from RNAcentral. Lineage: Bacteria; Pseudomonadati; Pseudomonadota; Gammaproteobacteria; Moraxellales; Moraxellaceae.
UGCUACUGGACCUAGCGGCGGACGGGUGAGUAAUGCUUAGGAAUCUGCCUAUUAGUGGGGGACAACAUCUCGAAAGGGAUGCUAAUACCGCAUACGUCCUACGGGAGAAAGCAGGGGAUCUUCGGACCUUGCGCUAAUAGAUGAGCCUAAGUCGGAUUAGCUAGUUGGUGGGGUAAAGGCCUACCAAGGCGACGAUCUGUAGCGGGUCUGAG